AUUCAAGACAGCUCUGUAAUGGCCUGGACUGAAUUUCAAGUGAUUAACACAGUUCCUGCAAAAAGUAAAUCAGUGGUUCUCAACAGGAAGUGGAGAAGUCAUCCUGAGGGAACAUUUAGCAAUACCUAGAGACAUUCUGGUUGUCAUAACCACGAGAAUGCUCCUAGUGGAUAGAAGCCAGGAUACUGUUAAACUCAUUCCACAAUGCACAGAACAACACACAACAACACAUUCUUAAUGUACAGGACUGAAACAAAGAAUGAUCUCACCCAGAAUGUCAGUGUUGCCAAGGUGGAGCAUAGAUGCUUGUGGCAGAGGGUACUGGUUUUCCCCCAGUAUCCAUUCUUUCAUUCGCCUGUGAUAAUACGUGCUCCUGUUUUUUUUUUUAUAAACAGCUGCCAAGCAGAAAAACACUUUCUAUCUCCUUGUAUGUAAGUGGAAAUAGGUAGGAUUGUCUUGUGGGGCUAGUUUCUUUCUUUUCUUCCUCUGCCCUGCCUCUUGAAACAUAGGUGCUGCACUGUCUUAGGUCAUGAGGUUGAGGACAUGCGAAAUGGAGCAACAAGAAGGAGGCUGUGUCCCUGACACCAUACAGCACUACACCUGUCCUGAAUUGCUGUGCAUGACACCAGAUAACUGCAAUGCAUUGUCUCAGCUCCCAAGACAUGAAUAAAAAACCAUCAAUAUGGCUUAAAAGCACAAAACCUUUGUAUCUUUGCCUUUUAUGUUAGGAUCUUAAUUAAAAAUUACAUCCUCUA
This is a long non-coding RNA of Sapajus apella (tufted capuchin), 755 nucleotides long. RefSeq lists it as uncharacterized. The transcript is spliced from 2 exons. The record is from RefSeq and is a predicted model, not a curated record. Lineage: Eukaryota; Metazoa; Chordata; Mammalia; Primates; Cebidae.